CAAUCACCCAACUUGGCUUAUUCCUUUAUCCACCUCAACCACGACUAGAACAUGGCGCAGUCGGUAGGACCUCUGGUAUUCGCUCAGUAUUCUGGGGCUUGUCAAGUCAUCUCAGACGAGUCAAGACCAGGUCAUGUGAAACCAAGGGAUAACAACCCUAGUACGAAUUGGGCUGCUACUGAGCAGAGGUCUGAGAUAUCCAUCAGAGCCGAAUCCCAAAACGAAAACCACCGCUUGUCAAUACUGUGCUCUGCAGCUAUGUGAAGCUGGCAGGACAGCUCUUGACAGAUAAUAGUUUCAAGGAUAGUGUGGUCACUGUUUCUAUUUGGUACAGCUGGGUCAAUUAAAUUGAUCUCAGUGUACAUUGUGAGGCUGUUAUAGCCAAGUUUCGGAAAUAGGCGGAGGAGAAAUUCAGUUACUGUAUGUAAUUGUAUUACUAGAGAAUCAUUUAAUAAAAGUAAUCAGAAACCAGGAGAGCUUCAUGCAAACUGGUGUACAGACCUAAAAUAAAUAGAAUCAAAGAUUGUGA
This is a long non-coding RNA of Frankliniella occidentalis (western flower thrips), 529 nucleotides long. RefSeq lists it as uncharacterized. Lineage: Eukaryota; Metazoa; Arthropoda; Insecta; Thysanoptera; Thripidae. The transcript has 2 exons. The record is from RefSeq and is a predicted model, not a curated record.